CACUCCUGCGGGAGGCAGCAGUGGGGAAUUUUGGACAAUGGGCGAAAGCCUGAUCCAGCAAUGCCGCGUGUGUGAAGAAGGCCUUCGGGUUGUAAAGCACUUUUGUCCGGAAAGAAAUCCUUGGCUCUAAUACAGUCGGGGGAUGACGGUACCGGAAGAAUAAGCACCGGCUAACUACGUGCCAGCAGCCGCGGUAAUACGUAGGGUGCGAGCGUUAAUCGGAAUUACUGGGCGUAAAGCGUGCGCAGGCGGUUUGCUAAGACCGAUGUGAAAUCCCCGGGCUCAACCUGGGAACUGCAUUGGUGACUGGCAGGCUAGAGUAUGGCAGAGGGGGGUAGAAUUCCACGUGUAGCAGUGAAAUGCGUAGAGAUGUGGAGGAAUACCGAUGGCGAAGGCAGCCCCCUGGGCCAAUACUGACGCUCAUGCACGAAAGCGUGGGGAGCAAACAGGAUUAGAAACCCUAGUAGUCCCAUGAU
This 476-nucleotide ribosomal RNA is filed under the name uncultured organism. Its description in RNAcentral is "partial 16S ribosomal RNA". It matches the Rfam family "Bacterial small subunit ribosomal RNA", at positions 334 to 801 of the family's 1533-position model. The record is from RNAcentral.